AUGAACGCUGGCGGCGUGCCUAAUACAUGCAGGUCGAGCGAACAGACGAGGAGCUUGCUCCUCUGACGUUAGCGGCGGACGGGUGAGUAACACGUGGAUAACCUACCUAUAAGACUGGGACAACUUCGGGAAACCGGAGCUAAUACCGGAUAAUAUAUUGAACCGCAUGGUUCAAUAGUGAAAGACGGUUUUGCUGUCACUUAUAGAUGGAUCCGCGCCGCAUUAGCUAGUUGGUAAGGUAACGGCUUACCAAGGCAACGAUGCGUAGCCGACCUGAGCGGGUGAUCGGCCACACUGGAACUGAGACACGGUCCAGACUCCUACGGGAGGCAGCAGUAGGGAAUCUUCCGCAAUGGGCGAAAGCUUGACGGAGCAACGCCGCGUGAGUGAUGAAGGUCUUCGGAUCGUAAAACUCUGUUAUUAGGGAAGAACAAAUGUGUAAGUAACUAUGCACGUCUUGACGGUACCUAAUCAGAAAGCCACGGCUAACUACGUG
Molecule: ribosomal RNA, 496 nt
Filed under: uncultured bacterium
Lineage: Bacteria
Description: partial 16S ribosomal RNA
Rfam family: Bacterial small subunit ribosomal RNA
Source: RNAcentral